ACAGUUGCCUGGUAGGAGAGAUGCCAUGAUCUUGAAGGUGCUUUCCCCAGGGCGUCAGGCUGUCCAUCACACUUGUGAAGUACUGACCUCUGCAAUUUCUCCACGUUUGAGAGGGAAAUUCGACUGCAGAAUUGGUGGGGUUUGGGUUCCGACUCUCUCCUGA
This is a non-coding RNA of Vicugna pacos (alpaca), 163 nucleotides long. Lineage: Eukaryota; Metazoa; Chordata; Mammalia; Artiodactyla; Camelidae. The record is from RefSeq and is a predicted model, not a curated record.